Myotis brandtii (Brandt's bat) is the source of this 339-nucleotide long non-coding RNA. RefSeq lists it as uncharacterized. Lineage: Eukaryota; Metazoa; Chordata; Mammalia; Chiroptera; Vespertilionidae. The transcript is spliced from 3 exons. The record is from RefSeq and is a predicted model, not a curated record.
GGCCUCGGCCAGGGAAGAAGAUACCAAACCAGGCAGUGAAGUCAAAGAAGCUGGGAAGAAAAGGGAGGAUGCACCUUCCACCACUGCUCCUCAGAGGUCCAGAGAUCUGCAGCCACCAGCUCUCAAGGUUGCAGGACUGAACACCUGGAUCCACCACUCCUCGGUGAAAGCAGCCCACCAGCCGAGCGACGCCCAGCCUGAGUGGAAGGUGACCUCCGACCAGAAACACCCCCUGUGGAUCACCCUCAAGAAGACGGAGGACCUGGCUGAUCACCUGCUCCAAGGAAUUCAGAUAACACCCUGCUGAAUUCUCCCUUACACUAAUAUUUCUUUCUUAUC